This 493-nucleotide ribosomal RNA is filed under the name uncultured bacterium. RNAcentral's name for it is "partial 16S ribosomal RNA". It matches the Rfam family "Bacterial small subunit ribosomal RNA", at positions 29 to 523 of the family's 1533-position model. The record is from RNAcentral.
AUUGAACGCUGGCGGCAUGCUUUACACAUGCAAGUCGAACGGUAACAGGUUAAGCUGACGAGUGGCGAACGGGUGAGUAAUGCAUCGGAACGUGCCCGGUCGUGGGGGAUAACGCAGCGAAAGUUGCGCUGAUACCGCAUACGAUCUGAGGAUGAAAGCGGGGGACCGUAAGGCCUCGCGCGAUCGGAGCGGCCGAUGUCAGAUUAGGUAGUUGGGGGGGUAAAGGCUCACCAAGCCAACGAUCUGUAGCUGGUCUGAGAGGACGACCAGCCACACUGGGACUGGGACACGGCCCAGACUCCUACGGGAGGCAGCAGUGGGGAAUUUUGGACAAUGGGCGAAAGCCUGAUCCAGCAAUGCUGCGUGCAGGAAGAAGGCCUUCGGGUUGUAAACUGCUUUUGUACGGAGCGAAAAGGUCUCCUCUAAUACAGGGGGCUCAUGACGGUACCGUAAGAAUAAGCACCGGCUAACUACGUGCCAGCCGCCGCAGUAA